GGUGUCUUUGCUGGAGCAGUUUAAUAAAGCCUCAGAUGCAUUCAAUAGGGCCGCUGACCUGUUUUGAUGGUAAAUGGAAAAGCACAGACCAAGAAAGUCAUGGUGACCACAAGAUCAGACCUCUGAGAGAUGAGAGCCUGAGUCAUCCUCACAAGAAUUAUUUAUCCUGAUUGAGAGGUGCUGCCUACAAGAGAUGAUUGGAAGAAGCCAAAUUUUUCUCCUGCAAGGAAAUAAUACAGAGAAAGAAAGUAUUAAAAGUCAGCUUUGCCUUCUGAGAUGUCAGAUUAGGGGAGGGUUUUUACACAAGCUGCUUCAGAUCACUUCCUUCUUCCUUAUGAGAGCUCAACACCGUGCAGCUGGUUGGUUAAAGGAGCCCCACUUCUGCCGAGUAGUCAGAACUCCAAACUGAAGUGAAGCAACGCGAAUCAACAUGCAGGAAAUGGGCACCUUAACUCUAUUUUUAUAAUAAGUACAAUGAUUUUGUUGCUUUAAAGACGUGUUUUCUUUUCUUUCUGUUGAACAAAAAAACCCAAGUUCAAAUAGGGUCCAGCACUUAUGGUGUCGGUGCUGAUUCGGGCACACUCUGAGGCGCUCUAAGCCCUGAACGCGUGACGAAAACCCUUGCCCCCAGCUCCCCCGUGGAGCACUAGGAUUGCGUCUCACUCCGCCCACACCCCACUCCACACCCUGAGGAUGGGGCACGGGGAAGUGGCCCAGAAAGCAGACACUUGAGUCUGGGCUCCACAUCAACUCUAUGACUUUGGACCUUGGACAAAACCAUCAUUAUUCUUUCCAGAUCUCACUGUUGUCACCUACCUAGUGAGCAGUUGGGCCUCGUCCCACUCUCACAGUUGACGAUCUGGAAGCAUAUAUGUCGCUCUGUCAGACAAAACCUCUGUUUGGUUUUCUUUUGUACUGUUUAAUAAUUUGGAAGAAAUGUUUUCAUUUGUUUUUAUGUUUUUCUUAUUUAAAAACAUGUUAAUUUUUAAAUAAUAUAAAAAUCUAGAUAAGCAAAAAGAAGAAAACAAAUUAAAUUCACCCAUAAUCCUACUACCCAAUAAAAUGUUACAGUAUAUAGCCUCCAGCCAUUUGCAUUGUGAUUGUUCAGUUAACAAUAUGCUGAGAUUAUCUACCCACGACUUAACCACGGUCAUGCCGGCAUAGCACAGUUCACC
Long non-coding RNA from Camelus dromedarius (Arabian camel), 1175 nucleotides. RefSeq lists it as uncharacterized. The record is from RefSeq and is a predicted model, not a curated record. The transcript is spliced from 3 exons. NCBI's taxonomy places the organism in Eukaryota, Metazoa, Chordata, Mammalia, Artiodactyla, Camelidae.